This 253-nucleotide ribosomal RNA is filed under the name uncultured bacterium. RNAcentral's name for it is "partial 16S ribosomal RNA". It matches the Rfam family "Bacterial small subunit ribosomal RNA", at positions 524 to 776 of the family's 1533-position model. The record is from RNAcentral.
UACGGAGGGGGCUAGCGUUGUUCGGAAUUACUGGGCGUAAAGCGCGCGUAGGCGGACUUUCAAGUCAGGGGUGAAAUCCCGAGGCUCAACCUCGGAACUGCCUUUGAUACUGUAAGUCUUGAGUCCGAGAGAGGUGAGUGGAAUUCCUAGUGUAGAGGUGAAAUUCGUAGAUAUUGGGAAGAACACCGGUGGCGAAGGCGGCUCACUGGCCCGUAACUGACGCUCAGGCGCGAUAGCGUGGGGAUCAAACAGG